This 1572-nucleotide long non-coding RNA is filed under the name Oryctolagus cuniculus (rabbit). RNAcentral describes it as "lncRNA (ENSOCUG00000033553.1)". The record is from RNAcentral. Lineage: Eukaryota; Metazoa; Chordata; Mammalia; Lagomorpha; Leporidae.
AAUCAUGCUACUUCCUUGAACUACUGCUUUAAGAAAACCAACAGGGUGAGUAUGAUAGCAACAGCAGCUGACACUCAGUGUGACAUACAAAAGAGGGAAUAAGGGAGACAGUGAAUGAAGACUACAAGCCCCCUCUAGUGGGGACGGCUGCCACCCAGCACCAGCACUGUCACCAUGUGGGAACACUGACUUGUGCAGCCACAUAGUUCUGUUUGCAAAAAAUCCAGGCGUUUGUGUUAUUCCAUCUUCCAUCCUAUUCUGAAAUGUUGAAUUGGUUUGAACACUGUGGGCCCCUACUGAUGGGCUGAACUUUCCCAGAGGAGCACACGCCACGCCUCCUGUACACUCAAAUGUUGUCACGCUUCGCUAAAUAUUUGUAUAAAUAAAGUAGGAAGAGGGUCAUCUGUUUAGUUCCCUUUUCCUAUGAAAUAUAGAAAUACAUACAUAUUUACAAAUACACACAGGUUAUAUAUGUAUAAAACAAAUUCGGAUUAACCCAGUAGUGUGCAGGACUCUACCAGGCCCCGUUCAAUCUCCCGUCCCCAACAGCCCUGACCCAGGAGCAUGUUCAAAAAGAAGCAACUCAGAUGCAAUAUAACAGCUGCCCCUCGAGGUGAGACUUGAUUUAGAACUCCUAUUUGAAGCCAUUGCUUGCUUCCUCUGUCCACAGCUUCUUAGUCCAUGGACUACAAGAAGUGACUCCUGCUCAGAAGCCACUCGGACUUCCUGUUCCCAUGUGUCUGACUUCUGGCCUCCCUAAAAGAGGGCAAGUGGAUGUCACUGAAGUGUCUGUAGGAGUUGAGGUCUGGGCCACAGGACCCGGGAGCUCCAGAAGACGAGAGAGAGAUCAGCAGAAUCCACAGGAGCUCAGAGCACCUCCAGCAGAGUGGGAGAGGAGACGCCAUGCCAAAAAAAGAAUGAAUGCGCCAUUUCCGCGGCCCCACUGGGAACAUGGUUCAAGAUGUGGCGAUGUGGCGAGCACCCUGGGGCGGCUCCCUGGGUAACAGUCAGGUCCCUCCUGGGCUUCCGUCCGCAGCCGCAGCAGCCGCCAUGACGGCGGCCCCAGGAGGUCGGGGACGGCGGGUUUCCGUUAACGGCGAGGACGGUCUACACUGGAGAGGAGACGGUGGCGCUCACCAGGGCUGGGCUAACGUGAGUCUGUGUCUUGGGGUGCCUCACCUCCAAACACACACGGAAUACACAUCUAUGUGCCUGCUCAGGCUCUGCCUGACUUUCUGGAGAGAACCCACCUCACCUCCGCUGAGAACCCUUCAACUUCCCACUCAGGAUCAUGGAAUCCUCAAAGCGCAGAGAGCAGACUGGCAAAUGACAUCUGGAGGACAGGGUCUUUGUUCACAGGAGGCAGGGAUGUCUGCAGUGCCUACUGCUACGCUAAUGGAUUCUUCCAGAAAUGUCAAGGUGAGGCUGAGGAUGCCGCGGCUCCCCCGUGCAGAACCCCUGACCCAGCGUUCGCAGCUCCAGGAGUUUACCACGGGAAAUCAGCUCACUCCUGCCAGCCGUGACUUUGCCUCCACUUGCAAGGACAUCCGGCUGACUUUCUCCAGGAUUUAA